Molecule: ribosomal RNA, 454 nt
Filed under: uncultured Prevotella sp.
Lineage: Bacteria; Pseudomonadati; Bacteroidota; Bacteroidia; Bacteroidales; Prevotellaceae
Description: partial 16S ribosomal RNA
Rfam family: Bacterial small subunit ribosomal RNA
Source: RNAcentral
ACGGGAGGCAGCAGUGAGGAAUAUUGGUCAAUGGACGAGAGUCUGAACCAGUCAAGUAGCGUGCAGGAUGACGGCCCUAUGGGUUGUAAACUGCUUUUGUACGGGAAUAAAGUGACCUACGUGUAGGUUUUUGCAUGUACCGUAAGAAUAAGGACCGGCUAAUUCCGUGCCAGCAGCCGCGGUAAUACGGAAGGUCCGGGCGUUAUCCGGAUUUAUUGGGUUUAAAGGGAGCGUAGGCCGUGCUUUAAGCGUGUUGUGAAAUGUAGGCGCCCAACGUCUGCACUGCAGCGCGAACUGGAGCACUUGAGUACGCAGGAAGUAGGCGGAAUUCGUCGUGUAGCGGUGAAAUGCAUAGAUAUGACGAAGAACACCGAUUGCGUAGGCAGCUGACCAGGCCGUAAAUGACGCUCAUGCACGAAAGUGCGGGGAUCGAACAGGAUUAGAUACCCUGGUA